UACAUGCAAGUCGAGCGGACCGACGGGAGCUUGCUCCCUUAGGUCAGCGGCGGACGGGUGAGUAACACGUGGGUAACCUGCCUGUAAGACUGGGAUAACUCCGGGAAACCGGGGCUAAUACCGGAUGCUUGAUUGAGCCGCAUGGUUCAAUCAUAAAAGGUGGCUUUCAGCUACCACUUACAGAUGGACCCGCGGCGCAUUAGCUAGUUGGUGAGGUAACGGCUCACCAAGGCGACGAUGCGUAGCCGACCUGAGAGGGUGAUCGGCCACACUGGGACUGAGACACGGCCCAGACUCCUACGGGGAGGCAGCAGUAGGGAAUCUUCCGCAAUGGACGAAAGUCUGACGGAGCAACGCCGCGUGAGUGAUGAAAGGUUUUCGGAUCGUAAAACUCUGUUGUUAGGGAAGAACAAGUACCGUUCGAAUAGGGCGGCACCUUUGACGGUACCUUAACCAGAAAGCCACGGGCUAACUACGUGCCAGCAGCCGCGGUAAUACGUAGGUGGCAAGCGUUGUCCGGAAUUAUUGGGCGUAAAGCGCGCGCAGGGGGUUUCUUAAGUCUGAUGUGAAAGCCC
This 575-nucleotide ribosomal RNA is filed under the name uncultured Bacilli bacterium. RNAcentral's name for it is "bacterial SSU rRNA". It matches the Rfam family "Bacterial small subunit ribosomal RNA", at positions 52 to 603 of the family's 1533-position model. Lineage: Bacteria; Bacillati; Bacillota; Bacilli. The record is from RNAcentral.